This is a long non-coding RNA of Etheostoma cragini (Arkansas darter), 202 nucleotides long. RefSeq lists it as uncharacterized. The transcript is spliced from 3 exons. The record is from RefSeq and is a predicted model, not a curated record. NCBI's taxonomy places the organism in Eukaryota, Metazoa, Chordata, Actinopteri, Perciformes, Percidae.
CCUGAUAUUCACACUAUUACAGAUGUAGUUCUUUUUAGGAAAACUCAAACUCAAAACCUUUGUGUUUAGAAUGGCUUUUAAUACGUAGUAGUGGUGUGACAAUUGAACUCUCUUCCUCCUGUUUCUAUGUAACCUUUUCAGAUUUUACUGUUUUCUGUUUCAUUCUUUUUGUUGUAUGUUAUGUUAUAUAUAAUGUGUUUUU